This 422-nucleotide ribosomal RNA is filed under the name uncultured bacterium. Its description in RNAcentral is "bacterial SSU rRNA". It matches the Rfam family "Bacterial small subunit ribosomal RNA", at positions 355 to 774 of the family's 1533-position model. The record is from RNAcentral.
UGAGGAAUAUUGGUCAAUGGACGGAAGUCUGAACCAGCCAUGCCGCGUGAAGGAUGAAGGCGUUCUGCGUUGUAAACUUCUUUUAUUAGGGAAGAAACCACAGAUUUCUAUUUGUGUUGACGGUACCUUAUGAAUAAGCACCGGCUAACUCCGUGCCAGCAGCCGCGGUAAUACGGAGGGUGCAAGCGUUAUCCGGAUUUACUGGGUUUAAAGGGUGUGUAGGCGGACUUAUAAGUCAGGGGUGAAAUCUCCGAGCUCAACUCGGAAACUGCCUUUGAUACUAUUAGUCUUGAAUUAUGUCGAGGUUGGCGGAAUAUAACAUGUAGCGGUGAAAUGCAUAGAUAUGUUAUAGAACACCGAUUGCGAAGGCAGCUGGCUAGACAUAUAUUGACGCUGAGGCACGAAAGCGUGGGUAGCGAACG